Molecule: long non-coding RNA, 1316 nt
Organism: Myzus persicae (green peach aphid)
Lineage: Eukaryota; Metazoa; Arthropoda; Insecta; Hemiptera; Aphididae
Exons: 3
Source: RefSeq, a predicted model, not a curated record
AAUAAUAAUUCUGUCAUUAUUUCUAUAAUAUCUUUCGCUGUCUCUUUACCACAUAAUGAUAUGAUAUUCUUGAUUGCCAUACAAUCAAAAUAAACUAUUUAAGUCAACAAAUAACCAAUGUUACCAUAAUAUUGUCAUCAAUGUCAUCGUCGGACGUCCGACACGAAUGAAAGAAGUGUUUUAGUUUUGAUUAUGUGAAUUGUGAUAGGUGGUUUUAAUAUGAUGUAUUUUUAAAUUAUAAGCAGUUGUAAACUUUAAAUUCUAAGUAUGGAACCAUUAGAACCAUGUCAGCGCAGCCACCUUAAAAAAACUCGUCUCAGGUGGGGUGAGAAGACUUCUGUAAGAGAAAGAAAAAUCUUUAAAAGGAAAUCAAACUAUUUUAUCAUGUGUUCAAACUUUUAAAAAACAAGAUUAAUAUGCCAACUUGAAUACUGAAGAAAAUAGAAUACCAGAAUAUCCAGUCACAGUAGUUAAAAUAAAUUUAGACCAAAAUGUUGCUAAUGAAAUAUAAGAACAAUUAAUAACACCACAGCACUUAAACUCAACCGACUCAGCUUAUGAUUCAGUACAGUCAAUUUUGAUGGACAAAUCUGUAUAAUAUCCAUCAGAUCCUGAUUUAUUUCGAGAAAAAAUACUUUCAACACCCCUUAUAAGAGCUCUUAUAGAAAUAGGGCCUUGCCAGCCAAGUAUUGAUGGAAAACAUUUUGUUUUUCCAAAAAAUGUAAAUGGUCAAAGUUUUAUUUUAAAGUGGUAUGAAAAAAAAACAAAGUCAAAUUUUCUUUGUAAACGUAGCUGGUUAGUUUAUUCUCCAAGUAGCAAUAAAAUGUUCUGCUUUCCAUGUUUUACCUUACUAUUUCUCAAUAUCAUUAUCAGUGGUCUGGUUCAUCUAAAGGUGUUUCAAAUUUUCGGAAGGGUCACGAAAAAAAUUGUUGAGAAGUUAAAUGAACACAAAACUGCUGAGAGAGAAUAUUUAAUAUUAAGAACACGAAUUAACAACGACAUUUCCGUUGUGCAUAAUAUAAUUCUAGCGGGAAAAAAAGAAAAGGAACAUAAUCGCAACUUUUUAAACGAUUAAUUGAUUUAUCUUUAUUCUUUGAAAAAAAUGGUCUUUCAUUUAGAGGUCAUUGAGAAAAUGCUAGUUAUAAGACACCAAACCAAAGACUUUCUAUUGAACUUGUUAAGUUAGUUUCAAAAUAUGAUGCUGUUUUAGCAAAACAUCUUGCAGAAUCAAAUAAAAAUGAAACUUAUUUAAGUCGUAUGAUUCAAAAUGAUAUAGUUAAAUCUAUGGCGCAUGAAACUGUUCAGUUAAUAUUAAA